UACUCUUAACACCUGUGCACACUAUGCGAGUUAGUAGUUGGUCUUUCCUUGAAAGAGGGUGCACGUCCUUGUAAUGGUUAGUAGUCGCGAGGCGAAAGCUUACCAGGUGUUUGUAUUGUUCGUUAGUAGUCGAGAGGCGAAAGCGUACGAGUUUUGACACCUGUUGAGUAAGUAGUCGAGCGAUGAAAGCUUGAGGGGAAGUGAACCUACACUUUCAAGGAGUUGCUGAAGGGGGUGCACCGUCUCGUCUGAUGGUUCGUAGUCGUUCAGUGAAAGCUUACUGCGUUUCUGUAUUGUUUGUUAGUAGUCGAGAGACGAAAGCCUACGAGUUUGAAGUGCAGUUUGUUAGUAGUGGAGCGAAGAAAGCUGAGGGACUCCUCUCCCCUUCGACUAGGGAUCGAUGAAGGCUUUGUCUUUAUCAACCUUUACUUGUCAUGUAGAAUGUAAUGCUCGUUGUGGGCGAAAUUUAUACAACUUUCAACAACGGAUCUCUUGGCUCUCGCAUCGAUGAAGAACGCAGCGAAAUGCGAUAAGUAAUGUGAAUUGCAGAAUUCAGUGAAUCAUCGAAUCUUUGAACGCACCUUGCACCCCUUGGUAUUCCGAGGGGUAUGCCUGUUUGAGUGUCAUGUUAACCUCAACUCCCCUUGUUUUGUUACUCGGGUGUUGGACUUGGGGGUUUGCUGGCCCCGUUGUGGUCGGCUCCUCUUAAAAGCAUUAGCUGGACUUUGGUUCGCGUUGAGGGUGUAAUAAGCUAACGACUUUCACCAAGCGCUUGCCUAAGGGGUUUGGCUUCUAAUCGUCUUCGGACAAGGUCUUAGUGCCUUCUUGACACCUUGACCUCAAAUCAGGUAGGACACCCAGUCUC
RNAcentral lists this ribosomal RNA (865 nucleotides) under Pseudoinonotus crustosus. RNAcentral describes it as "eukaryotic LSU rRNA". The stretch from base 473 to 626 matches the Rfam family "5.8S ribosomal RNA". Lineage: Eukaryota; Fungi; Basidiomycota; Agaricomycetes; Hymenochaetales; Hymenochaetaceae. The record is from RNAcentral.